CUGCAGCUUAUUAAACCCACCAGUUCUCCUCCUGUGCAGUUCUGGUGUGCAGAGGCUGCAGACAGUGAGGAUUGGUUGUGUAUGUCCUCAGAUGGGAGGUGCUGAGUGCUUUAAUGGACCAUUGAGACAAAU
This is a small nucleolar RNA of Thunnus maccoyii (southern bluefin tuna), 132 nucleotides long. RefSeq annotates it as small nucleolar RNA SNORA70. The record is from RefSeq and is a predicted model, not a curated record. NCBI's taxonomy places the organism in Eukaryota, Metazoa, Chordata, Actinopteri, Scombriformes, Scombridae. The transcript has a single exon.